GAUGAACGCUGGCGGCGUGCCUAAUACAUGCAAGUCGAGCGAACAGACGAGGAGCUUGCUCCUCUGACGUUAGCGGCGGACGGGUGAGUAACACGUGGAUAACCUACCUAUAAGACUGGGAUAACUUCGGGAAACCGGAGCUAAUACCGGAUAAUAUAUUGAACCGCAUGGUUCAAUAGUGAAAGACGGUUUUGCUGUCACUUAUAGAUGGAUCCGCGCCGCAUUAGCUAGUUGGUAAGGUAACGGCUUACCAAGGCAACGAUGCGUAGCCGACCUGAGAGAGUGAUCGGCCACACUGGAACUGAGACACGGUCCAGACUCCUACGGGAGGCAGCAGUAGGGAAUCUGCCGCAAUGGGCGAAAGCCUGACGGAGCAACGCCGCGUGAGUGAUGAAGGUCUUCGGAUCGUAAAACUCUGUUAUUAGGGAAGAACAAAUGUGUAAGUAACUAUGCACGUAUUGACGGUACCUAAUCAGAAAGCCACGGCUAACUACGUG
This 497-nucleotide ribosomal RNA is filed under the name uncultured bacterium. RNAcentral's name for it is "partial 16S ribosomal RNA". It matches the Rfam family "Bacterial small subunit ribosomal RNA", at positions 28 to 507 of the family's 1533-position model. The record is from RNAcentral.